Molecule: ribosomal RNA, 29 nt
Filed under: Aspergillus sojae
Lineage: Eukaryota; Fungi; Ascomycota; Eurotiomycetes; Eurotiales; Aspergillaceae
Description: partial 18S ribosomal RNA
Source: RNAcentral
UAACGGAGCUAAAAGGGGAAGGAUCAUUA